UACGAAGGGUGCAAGCGUUACUCGGAAUUACUGGGCGUAAAGCGUGCGUAGGUGGUGAGUUAAGUCUGAUGUGAAAUCCCCGGGCUCAACCUGGGAAUGGCAUUGGAUACUGGCUCGCUAGAGUGCGGUAGAGGGUGGUGGAAUUCCCGGUGUAGCAGUGAAAUGCGUAGAGAUCGGGAGGAACAUCUGUGGCGAAGGCGGCCACCUGGACCAACACUGACACUGAGGCACGGAAGCGUGGGGAGCAAACAGG
This 253-nucleotide ribosomal RNA is filed under the name uncultured bacterium. RNAcentral describes it as "partial 16S ribosomal RNA". It matches the Rfam family "Bacterial small subunit ribosomal RNA", at positions 524 to 776 of the family's 1533-position model. The record is from RNAcentral.